AACGAACGCUGGCGGCAGGCCUAAUACAUGCAAGUCGAGCGCGCCCUUCGGGGUGAGCGGCGGACGGGUGAGUAACGCGUGGGAAUAUGCCCUUCUCUAAGGAAUAGCCUCUGGAGACGGAGAGUAAUACCUUAUACGCCCUUUGGGGGAAAGAUUUAUCGGAGAAGGAUUAGCCCGCGUUAGAUUAGGUAGUUGGUGGGGUAAUGGCCUACCAAGCCUACGAUCUAUAGCUGGUUUGAGAGGAUGAUCAGCCACACUGGGACUGAGACACGGCCCAGACUCCUACGGGAGGCAGCAGUAGGGAAUCUUAGACAAUGGGGGCAACCCUGAUCUAGCCAUGCCGCGUGUGUGAUGAAGGCCCUAGGGUCGUAAAGCACUUUCGCCAGAGAUGAUAAUGACGGUAUCUGGUAAAGAAACCCCGGCUAACUCCGUGCCAGCAGCCGCGGUAAUACGGAGGGGGUUAGCGUUGUUCAGAAUUACUGGGCGUAAAGCGCACGUAGGCGGAUUAGUAAGUUAGAGGUGAAAUCCCAGGGCUCAACCCUGGAACUGCCUUUAAUACUGCUAGUCUUGAGUUCGAGAGAGGUAAGUGGAAUUCCGAGUGUAGAGGUGAAAUUCAUA
Molecule: ribosomal RNA, 618 nt
Filed under: uncultured Alphaproteobacteria bacterium
Lineage: Bacteria; Pseudomonadati; Pseudomonadota; Alphaproteobacteria
Description: bacterial SSU rRNA
Rfam family: Bacterial small subunit ribosomal RNA
Source: RNAcentral